UAAGUAACCUGCCUCAUACAGGGGGAUAGCAGCUGGAAACGGCUGAUAAAACCGCAUAAGCGCACAGCAUCGCAUGAUGCAGUGUGAAAAACUCCGGUGGUAUGAGAUGGACCCGCGUCUGAUUAGCUAGUUGGUGAGGUAACGGCCCACCAAGGCGACGAUCAGUAGCCGGCCUGAGAGGGUGACCGGCCACAUUGGGACUGAGACACGGCCCAA
RNAcentral lists this ribosomal RNA (216 nucleotides) under uncultured bacterium. RNAcentral's name for it is "partial 16S ribosomal RNA". It matches the Rfam family "Bacterial small subunit ribosomal RNA", at positions 118 to 334 of the family's 1533-position model. The record is from RNAcentral.